GAUGAACGCUGGCGGCGUGCCUAAUACAUGCAGGUCGAGCGAACAGAUGAGGAGCUUGCUCCUCUGACGUUAGCGGCGGACGGGUGAGUAACACGUGGAUAACCUACCUAUAAGACUGGGAUAACUUCGGGAAACCGGAGGUAAUACCGGAUAAUAUAUUGAACCGCAUGGUUCAAUAGUGAAAGACGGUUUUGCUGUCACUUAUAGAUGGAUCCGCGCCGCAUUAGCUAGUUGGUAAGGUAACGGCUUACCAAGGCAACGAUGCGUAGCCGACCUGAGAGGGUGAUCGGCCACACUGGAACUGAGACACGGUCCAGACUCCUACGGGAGGCAGCAGUAGGGAAUCUUCCGCAAUGGGCGAAAGCCUGACGGAGCAACGCCGCGUGAGUGAUGAAGGUCUUCGGAUCGUAAAACUCUGUUAUUAGGGAAGAACAAAUGUGUAAGUAACUAUGCACGUCUUGACGGUACCUAAUCAGAAAGCCACGGCUAACUACGUG
Molecule: ribosomal RNA, 497 nt
Filed under: uncultured bacterium
Lineage: Bacteria
Description: partial 16S ribosomal RNA
Rfam family: Bacterial small subunit ribosomal RNA
Source: RNAcentral